This 1505-nucleotide ribosomal RNA is filed under the name Curtobacterium flaccumfaciens. RNAcentral describes it as "bacterial SSU rRNA". It matches the Rfam family "Bacterial small subunit ribosomal RNA". Lineage: Bacteria; Bacillati; Actinomycetota; Actinomycetes; Micrococcales; Microbacteriaceae. The record is from RNAcentral.
UAGAGUUUGAUCAUGGCUCAGGACGAACGCUGGCGGCGUGCUUAACACAUGCAAGUCGAACGAUGAUGCCCAGCUUGCUGGGUGGAUUAGUGGCGAACGGGUGAGUAACACGUGAGUAACCUGCCCCUGACUCUGGGAUAAGCGUUGGAAACGACGUCUAAUACUGGAUAUGAUCACUGGCCGCAUGGUCUGGUGGUGGAAAGAUUUUUCGGUUGGGGAUGGACUCGCGGCCUAUCAGCUUGUUGGUGAGGUAAUGGCUCACCAAGGCGACGACGGGUAGCCGGCCUGAGAGGGUGACCGGCCACACUGGGACUGAGACACGGCCCAGACUCCUACGGGAGGCAGCAGUGGGGAAUAUUGCACAAUGGGCGAAAGCCUGAUGCAGCAACGCCGCGUGAGGGAUGACGGCCUUCGGGUUGUAAACCUCUUUUAGUAGGGAAGAAGCGAAAGUGACGGUACCUGCAGAAAAAGCACCGGCUAACUACGUGCCAGCAGCCGCGGUAAUACGUAGGGUGCAAGCGUUGUCCGGAAUUAUUGGGCGUAAAGAGCUCGUAGGCGGUUUGUCGCGUCUGCUGUGAAAUCCCGAGGCUCAACCUCGGGCUUGCAGUGGGUACGGGCAGACUAGAGUGCGGUAGGGGAGAUUGGAAUUCCUGGUGUAGCGGUGGAAUGCGCAGAUAUCAGGAGGAACACCGAUGGCGAAGGCAGAUCUCUGGGCCGUAACUGACGCUGAGGAGCGAAAGCAUGGGGAGCGAACAGGAUUAGAUACCCUGGUAGUCCAUGCCGUAAACGUUGGGCGCUAGAUGUAGGGACCUUUCCACGGUUUCUGUGUCGUAGCUAACGCAUUAAGCGCCCCGCCUGGGGAGUACGGCCGCAAGGCUAAAACUCAAAGGAAUUGACGGGGGCCCGCACAAGCGGCGGAGCAUGCGGAUUAAUUCGAUGCAACGCGAAGAACCUUACCAAGGCUUGACAUACACCGGAAACGGCCAGAGAUGGUCGCCCCCUUGUGGUCGGUGUACAGGUGGUGCAUGGUUGUCGUCAGCUCGUGUCGUGAGAUGUUGGGUUAAGUCCCGCAACGAGCGCAACCCUCGUUCUAUGUUGCCAGCGGGUUAUGCCGGGGACUCAUAGGAGACUGCCGGGGUCAACUCGGAGGAAGGUGGGGAUGACGUCAAAUCAUCAUGCCCCUUAUGUCUUGGGCUUCACGCAUGCUACAAUGGCCGGUACAAAGGGCUGCGAUACCGUAAGGUGGAGCGAAUCCCAAAAAGCCGGUCUCAGUUCGGAUUGAGGUCUGCAACUCGACCUCAUGAAGUCGGAGUCGCUAGUAAUCGCAGAUCAGCAACGCUGCGGUGAAUACGUUCCCGGGCCUUGUACACACCGCCCGUCAAGUCAUGAAAGUCGGUAACACCCGAAGCCGGUGGCCUAACCCUUGUGGAAGGAGCCGUCGAAGGUGGGAUCGGUGAUUAGGACUAAGUCGUAACAAGGUAGCCGUACCGGAAGGUGCGGCUGGA